CCUACGGGGAGCAGCAGUCGAGAAUCAUUCACAAUGGGGGAAACCCUGAUGGUGCGACGCCGCGUGGGGGAAUGAAGGUCUUCGGAUUGUAAACCCCUGUCAUGUGGGAGCAAAUUAAAAAGAUAGUACCACAAGAGGAAGAGACGGCUAACUCUGUGCCAGCAGCCGCGGUAAUCCAGAGGUCUCAAGCGUUGUUCGGAAUCACUGGGCGUAAAGCGUGCGUAGGCUGUUUCGUAAGUCGUGUGUGAAAGGCGCGGGCUCAACCCGCGGACGGCACAUGAUACUGCGAGACUAGAGUAAUGGAGGGGGAACCGGAAUUCUCGGUGUAGCAGUGAAAUGCGUAGAUAUCGAGAGGAACACUCGUGGCGAAGGCGGGUUCCUGGACAUUAACUGACGCUGAGGCACGAAGGCCAGGGGAGCGAAAGGGAUUAGAUACCCUUGUAGUC
This 446-nucleotide ribosomal RNA is filed under the name uncultured bacterium. RNAcentral's name for it is "partial 16S ribosomal RNA". It matches the Rfam family "Bacterial small subunit ribosomal RNA", at positions 338 to 795 of the family's 1533-position model. The record is from RNAcentral.